GGGAGAAAGUGGGUCUACAAAGAGGUGAAAAGAGGGUAUUUACUAAAACUACCCCUUUUUCUAUCCACAG
RNAcentral lists this microRNA precursor (70 nucleotides) under Mus pahari (shrew mouse). RNAcentral describes it as "microRNA 6949 (MGP_PahariEiJ_G0007721.1)". Lineage: Eukaryota; Metazoa; Chordata; Mammalia; Rodentia; Muridae. The record is from RNAcentral.